Long non-coding RNA from Dermacentor andersoni, 2095 nucleotides. RefSeq lists it as uncharacterized. Lineage: Eukaryota; Metazoa; Arthropoda; Arachnida; Ixodida; Ixodidae. The record is from RefSeq and is a predicted model, not a curated record.
CUUUCGUGUUUUGGGGUUUUGGCGUGGUGACGCAACUGCAAAGGCAAAUCCAGCAACCCUGCGCGUCAAAGAAAGCAUCAUAAUGAAAGAUGCAAGCUUGAAAACAAGAGCGGUGGGUUUGCAUUUGCGCCAAUGCUGCCAGAGAGCAUGAGCACGUGCAAUAAACUCCGUACACUUUCAUCUGAUACUUUCUUGCCGAGUUUUGUUCUUUGGCAAUGGAAGGCCAUACCCUGGAAACUUGGCUCAAGUCGCUGCGGUGCUGGUCACUCGUGUAAAUGCCGCGCUGCUUUGUCGACGUCGUGCUCGACGACGACCAUAAAUGGGUGAGAGGAGGCACACAGUUGCCUGUUACCCUGAUGCGGAGGCUCACCCCCUAGCUGUCUGCCAUCUUCACUUUGGCCCGGUCAGAGAGGAUGGCCGGUCCGCCGUCUGCCAUCUUGACACUGACCUGGCCAGGGAGAAAGGACUCCAUCUUCUACAUCAUGUCAAGUAAGAUGCUCGCUUCGUCUGCCAUCUUGCAGGUCUUGCCGAUGUGGGACCAUGUCCACUUCUAGGCUGACGAGCUGCUGCAAAAAUUCCAGUUGUCUAUCUUCUUUUGCGAUUUCAACGGCUUUUUUGAUAGUGAAAUUAUGACCGAGCUGAACAAAUCUGCGCCUCAGCUGCGACGAAGCCAUGCCACAAAGAAUUUGGUCAUCUGCCAUGACAUCCACGGCUGUGCUGAAGUUAUACAGUCGAACCGGUUAUAUCGAACUUGAAAAAAAAAAAAAGACGCCUAUCAGUUCCAUGUAGGGCAUAAUUUGAUAUAAACCUGCUAAGGGUUGGUCAUCAUAAAAGUACAUACAAUUUAUAAAAUCACUUUAUUGAUGAAACUAGCUUAGUUUUGCAUGAAAUAGUCCCGUAUCUUCUUCUGCUUGAACAAUUUCACUGCCCGUGACAGCACAUACUUCACAUUUUCUAGAGUUGGAGCAACAGAGGGGGCAAUCUUCCACAUUCGCACAGAAGCACCGGAGUAGUGCGAGUGCAAGAAUCGCCUUGAAGGAUGUGGCCAAAGGAUCGUCAUUGCUUUCCUCGUUGUGCCCGCUUCACUUGUGCUCGGUAUGAUGUCAGCAAUGUGGCCUUCCCGUGGUUGCGACAUUAUCAUUCGCAGUCACAUUCACAAACUUUAGCGGAGUUUUAUAUAUGACACAUGUCGUGCAAGGCAAAUGCAAAUUUUUAUGCUUGAUUUCACAAGAGGCUGAGCCCGUGCUUCCUCUUUCCACCAUGCUGCACAACUUUGAAAGUUUACAAGGUGCUGAAAGGACAGCAUCAACCCCAUAUUUACCAGAAAUCUUUUUAAGAUUGUGGGAAACCUUAGGUAUGUAGGGAAGUUAUUGGUAUUUACGCGACUUUUCGGGUGCACUCAUGGGUCUCAUCUGUAUUGUCACGUAGUGGUGACGGCAGUCGCAGGAACGAUGAAGAUGGACAAAAGUUCUUCAACAGAAAACUGUUUAUUGGGCUGACUUGCACCCACAAUGGACUGAAUCACUCGGCGGCGGCGAAGUGACCAGCGUGCUCGGCGGUCGUCGAGCAGAAUGCCCGCCGCUGUCGUCCGCACUCAAUUUAAAGCUGAUAGCGAGCUUUCUAGAUAAAGCGUGCAAAGUUACUAGAACAUUCUGGAACAACCUAGAAUCAGCUCUGUCUGGAUGAUAUCAAUCGAGAUAAACCUGGGCGCGUCUUGCGUCGCAAACAAAGCGAUAAAGCGGCGUGGCGACAGAUUUGAAGAAUGAACAAACACUGCAAAGAUUCGCGGCAAUAUAAGCUUGCCGUUUGUUGCAUUAAAUCAUCAGUUAUCAGUACCGCAUCGAUUUGUCCCUUUCUUCAAAUCUCAUGUUUUCUUGCAGUAACUUACCAAAAUCUGUUUAUAGAAUUUCUUAUCCUGAGUUCAAUUAUAUAGUUGGUUUUCUUUCAAGUUGCAUACUUUCUGUUCUGCGCCAUGACAUAGGCCUUGUGCACCGUGUUUUUCCAUCAUUGAACUUCUAUUUUUAUGGACCACUGAUGGUUCUUAUUCUUCCAAUUGAACUGUAGAAUGUCAGAAACUAAGUAGGAAGUGCAUAUA